CUUGACAAACUUAUAAGAGGUCCAGCCUGCCCAGUGACUCUGUUCAACGGCCGCGGUAUCCUAACCGUGCGAAGGUAGCGUAAUCACUUGUUCUUUAAAUGAGGACUAGUAUGAAUGGCACCACGAAGGUUAUACUGUCUCCUUUUUCUAAUCAGUGAAACUAAUCUUCCCGUGAAGAAACGGGAAUAAAAAUAUAAGACGAGAAGACCCUAUGGAGCUUUAAACAAAUAUACACCUGCCUCUUUACCAAAAAUUUCAGAAGACAAGUAAUUAUCCGGGCAUUUUGAUAUAGCGUUUUAGGUUGGGGUGACCACGGAGCAAAAAAUAACCUCCGCAGCGAACGGGAGUAUUCCCUAAACCAAGGGCCACAACCCCAAGUAUUGAUAAAUCAACACCAAUUGACCCAAUAAAUUUGAUCAAUGAAC
RNAcentral lists this ribosomal RNA (425 nucleotides) under Leptodactylus mystaceus group sp. ABGD cluster 49. RNAcentral describes it as "partial large subunit ribosomal RNA". It matches the Rfam family "Bacterial large subunit ribosomal RNA", at positions 1822 to 2457 of the family's 2925-position model. Lineage: Eukaryota; Metazoa; Chordata; Amphibia; Anura; Leptodactylidae. The record is from RNAcentral.